CGAACGGGUGAGUAAUACGUGACCAACCUGCCCCAUGCUCCAGAAUAGCUCUUGGAAACGGGUGGUAAUGCUGGAUGCUCCAACUUGACGCAUGUCUUGUUGGGAAAGUGUUUAGUGGCAUGGGAUGGGGUCGCGUCCUAUCAGCUUGUAGGCGGGGUAAUGGCCCACCUAGGCUUCGACGGGUAGCCGGCCUGAGAGGGCGGACGGCCACAUUGGGACUGAGAUACGGCCCAGACUCCUACGGGAGGCAGCAGGC
Molecule: ribosomal RNA, 256 nt
Filed under: uncultured Gardnerella sp.
Lineage: Bacteria; Bacillati; Actinomycetota; Actinomycetes; Bifidobacteriales; Bifidobacteriaceae
Description: partial 16S ribosomal RNA
Rfam family: Bacterial small subunit ribosomal RNA
Source: RNAcentral